CGCUAGCGGCAGGCUAACACAUGCAAGUCGAGGGGCGAACGCGAGUAGCAAUACUUGGCGGCGACCGGCGCAAGGGUGCGUAACGCGUGAGCAACAUGCCCGUAUCAGGGGGAUAAUCCAGGGAAACUUGGUCUAAUACCCCAUAGUAAUUUUGUAAGGCAUCUUAUAAGAUUUAAAGCUUUGGUGGAUACGGAUUGGCUCGCGUGACAUUAGCUGGAUGGUAAGGUAACGGCUUACCAUGGCUAUGAUGUCUAGGGGUUCUGAGAGGAAGGUCCCCCACACUGGAACUGAGACACGGUCCAGACUCCUACGGGAGGCAGCAGUGAGGAAUAUUGGACAAUGGAUGGAAAUCUGAUCCAGCCAUGCCGCCGUGAAGGAAGAAGGUCCUAUGGAUUGUAAACUUCUUUUGUAUGGGAGCAAUAAGGCCUACGAGUAGGUUGAUGAGAGUACCAUACGAAUAAGCACCGGCUAACUCCGUGCCAGCCGCGGC
RNAcentral lists this ribosomal RNA (490 nucleotides) under uncultured bacterium. Its description in RNAcentral is "bacterial SSU rRNA". It matches the Rfam family "Bacterial small subunit ribosomal RNA", at positions 34 to 518 of the family's 1533-position model. The record is from RNAcentral.